CCUACGGGUGGCUGCAGUGAGGAAUAUUGGUCAAUGGGCGCAAGCCUGAACCAGCCAUGCCGCGUGCGGGAAGAAGGCGCUACGCGUCGUAAACCGCUUUUGUCUGGGGGUAACCGCAGGGACGUGUCCCUGCCUGCAAGUACCAGACGAAUAAGGGUCGGCUAACUCCGUGCCAGCAGCCGCGGUAAUACGGAGGACCCAAGCGUUAUCCGGAUUCAUUGGGUUUAAAGGGUGCCGGGGAGGCCCGGGCGAAAGGCUCCUGCUCCACAGGAGAGCUGCCGUUGAUACUGCUGGGCUAGAAUCUUAGCGAGGCUGGCGGAAUGCGCGGUGUAGCGGUGAAAUGCAUAGAUAUCGCGCAGAACGCCGAUUGGGGAGCCAGCUCGCCAGCUGAGUAUUGACGCUGAGGCACGAAAGCGUGGGGAUCAAACAGGAUUAGAUACCCCAGUAGUC
RNAcentral lists this ribosomal RNA (450 nucleotides) under uncultured bacterium. RNAcentral's name for it is "partial 16S ribosomal RNA". It matches the Rfam family "Bacterial small subunit ribosomal RNA", at positions 338 to 795 of the family's 1533-position model. The record is from RNAcentral.